UGGAAUCUGCAGAUGUUGGAAAGUUCCAUGCCGAUGAGAACCUGACAUUGGAUGCUUCUUCAAGCAAAAGUGAUAAUGUGGGUGAUAAGGAAGCAUCUGUUAUGAAAUCUGGUGCAUUGGAUCAGCCGUUUGUACCAGUUCCAACUCCAGAUCUUUCUGAGGCAACUUCAAAGAAUGAAUGCAAAGUUGUGGAAAAUAGUGGUACUGGCUCCCUUGCAGUAUCUAGUUCCAAGGACAAAGCUGUUGACCUGACCAGAGCAAAGACUACCUCUGCCAAACUGAAGAAGAAGAAAAAAGAAAUUCUUCAGAAAGCUGAUGCUGCUGGUACAACUUCUG
RNAcentral lists this unclassified non-coding RNA (336 nucleotides) under Hevea brasiliensis (rubber tree). Lineage: Eukaryota; Viridiplantae; Streptophyta; Magnoliopsida; Malpighiales; Euphorbiaceae. The record is from RNAcentral.